CGAGGGAACAUUUGGUCCAACUCAUCAGUGGAGAGUAAAUAGACGCAAACCCUUUUCUGGCCGUGUGGAAGUGAUCCGUGAGAGCGAAUCCAGAGUGCUGGAAGCGGGAUUUUACACUCAAACGCAUCAUUUCUUUCCCCACCACGUCUGGCAUUCAGUCUAUCGGUGGGACAUCAACACUCUCCAUCUUCUGUGCGGGAGCUUUCCGAUAGGGGUUAAUGGAUGGGGCAGGAUGAAGCAUUGUGUCCCCGCCGACGGAGGUUGCCAUUUGUUUUGUGCGGGAUCAAGGAGGAGAUCCACAGUUUGGUGCCUGUCGGAGAUGAUGGACGAACGUCUCCAUGUGAAACCAUUACACACCGUCACCGGGGGAAACACAUCACACAUCACUGCC
Gasterosteus aculeatus aculeatus (three-spined stickleback) is the source of this 391-nucleotide long non-coding RNA. The record is from Ensembl. Lineage: Eukaryota; Metazoa; Chordata; Actinopteri; Perciformes; Gasterosteidae.